Molecule: ribosomal RNA, 254 nt
Filed under: uncultured bacterium
Lineage: Bacteria
Description: partial 16S ribosomal RNA
Rfam family: Bacterial small subunit ribosomal RNA
Source: RNAcentral
GACGUAGGGCGCGAGCGUUGUCCGGAUUUAUUGGGCGUAAAGAGCUCGUAGGCGGCUCGUUGCGUCAACCGUGAAAACCCGGGGCUUAACUUCGGGCCUUGCGGUUGAUACGGGCGGGCUGGAGUUCGGUAGGGGAGACUGGAAUUCCUGGUGUAGCGGUGAAAUGCGCAGAUAUCAGGAGGAACACCGGUGGCGAAGGCGGGUCUCUGGGCCGAUACUGACGCUGAGGAGCGAAAGCGUGGGGAGCGAACAGG